RNAcentral lists this ribosomal RNA (57 nucleotides) under Ascomycota sp. D42. Its description in RNAcentral is "partial 28S ribosomal RNA". Lineage: Eukaryota; Fungi; Ascomycota. The record is from RNAcentral.
UUGACCUCGGAUCAGGUAGGGAUUACCCGCUGAACUUAAGCAUAUCAAUAAGCGGAG